UUUUUAGAUCUUCCUGGAGGAGUUUGCCACCUAACCGAUAACCCACGAAAAACCUCCCCAGAAUUUGAAAAACCAGCAUGUAUACCAUCGUCGUCAGUCUACCUCUCAAGAGAAGUAUACUAAAUGAAGCCCACUCCCCACGUCAGAUCGAGGUGCAGCUAAUAUUCUGGAAAAUGGUGAACUACAAUAUUUUAACAAACCAAACCCACAAAACAACUUAUGAACAGUAUUAUGAAACCAAUACUCAAAACAGGAUUCAGCAGUAAUACCUAAAAGAAAAUAGAUAUGAAACCAAAGCUCUAAAAUGCGC
This 310-nucleotide ribosomal RNA is filed under the name Neoferdina cumingi. RNAcentral's name for it is "partial 12S ribosomal RNA". Lineage: Eukaryota; Metazoa; Echinodermata; Asteroidea; Valvatida; Ophidiasteridae. The record is from RNAcentral.